Molecule: ribosomal RNA, 406 nt
Filed under: uncultured bacterium
Lineage: Bacteria
Description: partial 16S ribosomal RNA
Rfam family: Bacterial small subunit ribosomal RNA
Source: RNAcentral
AUUGAACGCUGGCGGCAGGCCUAACACAUGCAAGUCGAACGAGUGGCGGACGGGUGAGUAAUGUCUGGGAAACUGCCUGAUGGAGGGGGAUAACUACUGGAAACGGUAGCUAAUACCGCAUAACAUCAGAUGUGCCCAGAUGGGAUUAGCUAGUUGGGGGGGUAACGGCUCACCAAGGCGACGAUCCCUAGCUGGUCUGAGAGGAUGACCAGCAACACUGGAACUGAGACACGUUCCAGACUCCUACGGGAGGCAGCAGUGGGGAAUAUUGCACAAUGGUCGCAAGCCUGAUGCAGCCAUGCCGCGUGUAUGAAGAAGGCCUUCUGGUUGUAAAGUACUUUCAGCGGGGAGGCGUUACCCGCAUAAGAAGCACCGGCUAACUCCGUGCCAGCCGCCGCGGUAAUUC